Molecule: long non-coding RNA, 3481 nt
Organism: Cucurbita moschata (crookneck pumpkin)
Lineage: Eukaryota; Viridiplantae; Streptophyta; Magnoliopsida; Cucurbitales; Cucurbitaceae
Exons: 4
Source: RefSeq, a predicted model, not a curated record
GGAAGACUAGUUACCAAACAAGAGUUUUUAGAGAGUUCCAUAGGCUCCUCUGCAAGAACUUGAUGGAUGCACACACAUGAGCCAAUAUAAGAUAUCACUACGAAAGGAAAUGUGACUUGAUCAACCAUAAGACACUACAGGAGUUGACCUAAUUGAAUGUAGAGGACUUAUACAAGGAACCUUUACUUUCGAAAGAGACUUAUACAAGGAACCUUUACUUUCGAAAGAGCCUGCAUUUAGCUCAGAUGAGUAUUAGUAUUCAGGCAAGCUACAUGACAAGUUAUCUUGUUGUGAGGAAAGACCUAUGUUGGCCAAUUGGGAGCUAAUUACGAGACCAUUCUUGGUGAAGUAGUAGGAUUGUAAGGGUCUCGACAAGUUUAGGAUACCUCUUGUGAGGAUCAGGGAGAGAGGUAUAUCGAAGACAACUACUAGGAGCAAUCACGAGGAAGGAAAGUUUAUUGAUGAGUCCUUCGACCUGAUCAAUGUCUUGCUAAGGUUUAGGUUUAGACUAAUCGAACGUUAAGGAAUUUUCUGGUUAUCGUCAGAGACGACUUCAAUGACAAUAUGUCGUUGUACACCUAGAUGGAGUUAGUUGGCAAGGAGGGGAAAGUUAUGAUGGUAUUAUGAACAUAACAAUUGUACGCUAAGUUCCCUAAGAGCAAGUUUUGGCUGUCUGAGAUGACAAUUGAGGUUAUGUGUAGUCAAACAAAAAGAUCACAGUGAACCCCGCUAAGUUUGAUGCAGUUACGAGGUGGUCAAGACUGACCACAGUCACUGAGUCAUGUAGUUUAUGGGGGUGUAUGGAGAAAUUGAGAAUGCCCGAAGAAGAAGAAGAAGAAAAAAAAAAAAAAAAAAAAAAAAAAAAAAAAAAAAAAAAAAAAAAAAAAAAAAAAACAAACGUAAUCCAUCGGCCAUAGUCCAAGAAGAUGGCUCUGUUUUCAAUUUUGUUUCUAGUAGAUUAUUUUGAGUUCAGUUGGAAGUUUCUUAGCUUGAUUUCUGAUGGAUGAUCUAACUUGAAUCGGUUUGACGGUAAUCAUUUUGGCAAAAGGACAAUCAGGUCCGGAGUUUUGUUGAGAUUGAGUUCAAACGGUGACCUAAGGAGAUUUCUAAACGGGUUCAGUAGUGUUAUAAGGUUCCACUGUGACAAACCCUCACUUGGGUUCCCUUCGUUAGGUGUUGUUGCUGAUGGAGCCAUUGGGAUUAGAGACAAUGGCUUCAAAGUAGCGCAGGAGAUGGGGCUGUGGCAUUGAAUAAAGUCAAGGCUAAGAACCCUAAACGAGUUCUUAUUUUGAUGAGCGAUAUUGGUGACGGUUAUCGAGCUUCUGUUGAAGCAAAUCAAGGCAGUCUUUAAAGAAGAAUUUGAGAAUGAUUAUCCGGUUAGACAUGGCUUAGUAGUCCAAUCGAGCUAUUCAGCAAAGUGUGAAAUCAAAUAGAAAUAGAGACCAGUGGAGCAUACAAACUCUUCUAACGGGGGUUUGCUAUGGUAAGUCCUUCUCUGAGUUCCUCGAGACGAGGGAAUCUUGAAAAAGAUUAUGACCUCACGAUAUAUCUUACAUGUUCCGCAAAGGAAGUACGAAAAUGUAUUAGAAUUUGAAAAGAUUUUAACAGUGGCCAGGGAUGGAGAAUGACAUAACGGUUUUUGUAGGUCGAUGUUUGACCUGCUAGUAGGUGAAGGUCCUGAGACAUCGCGCAACAUGAUUACUACAACCCUUAAAUGGUAUUGCAUGCUAUUCAUUGUAUUCGCGGCUGUUCCAGCCUAUGAAAGAGGAAUUUUUGGGAAUUUCAUUACAGGGUCACCAUUCUCAGCUGGAGUGAUAUCAACAAAUGACUUGGGAUUCAUUCCAGUGGGCAUGAAGGGACCUUUCAUGGACAAACAAGCCCUCCAUGGCACGCUCGCUUAGCGUUCAUGGGUGCUAUGAAAUGUUGGGUCUUUUAUUCUCAAAAUCAGGCUUGUAAAAAGGUAAAAGCCGGUCUGGCUUCAAAUUUAAACGAAGGUCAUUAUUCCUGUGAUUAUGUUUCUUGUGCUUAAUGGAUUUUGAAUUCUGGAGUAGGGAUAUAGAAUGCUUUGGACUAUAAAGGAAAAUAUGUUAUUAAGAAAAAGAAAAAGAAAAAAAAAAAAAAAAAAAAAAAAAAAAAAAAAAAAAAAGUCUGUANUUGAGCAAGGUUACCAAUUAUACCAAUUAUAGCUUUAGAGUUUAUGUGUUGAAAUGUUGUGCAGGAUUAGGAGAAAAUGUAAGUACGGAGGUCAAGGGUUCAGGGAUGGAUGCUUCUAGUGUUGUUUUAAAAAGGGAUAUGGCUACAUAAAUGUAUCUCUAGAUUGCCAAGAACACAACAGAGUUUUAACAAUAUCCGAGUAGUUGGGGACAGACCAACCAAAAUAGCUUACUUCAUUUCAGGCGAGACUACAUAUCUAGUAGAUCGAUAGGAUCUAUUAUAGAUCGAGAGUUAGUAUGCCUGAGGAGGUGCCAGUCUCUAUUGUGUCAGACCGUGACACUAGGUGCUUGUGCAACAAAGUGGUUCACUUAGUAAAAGUCUCAUGGUAUACCCAUUGUGAUGAAGAGGCAACUGGGAUGGUGAAGAGAUAUGAGAAAUGUCUAUCCCAAGUUCUUCCGAGAGAUAUCAACUUUCGAGGACGAAAGUUUUUAAGGAGGGGAGAAUUUGUAAUACCCGAGCCUCAAUUGAAAGUUUAAAAUCUAAGUUUACCUUAAAAGUCGAUCUCUCUCAAUUUUAUUGAAGGUCUUAAAGACCAAAAUCCGAGAUGAGACGGAAGAGAAAAAUGAUGAGGAAUAAAAGAACGGAAGAAAAAUAUAAAGGAAAAAUGAUAGAAAACUAAAAGGAUGGUCCAGGUAAAUCCCUGGAGGGUAAUUUGGUCAUUAUACCUCCUUUUUAGUAACAUACGAAUAAAAGAGAAAAAGGAAAAAAAUAAAGGGGAAAAGGAAGAGAAGGAGAAAGUGCGGAAAGAAAAGAAUGUAAAUAGUGAGAGAGAAAAUUAUAGAGAGAGAAGGAAAGUUCUAGAGAGAGAGGGAGGUAACCGCCGCUCCGGCCACGAGGAGUCCGGUUCCGGUCGAGCCUUCAUGAAAUCUUCACAGAACUUAGAGAAGAACAUUCUUAACUUUUAGAUCGUCCAAAACCAUCCAGAAACGAGGAAAAAUCUAAAGAGGAUUACGCUCAAAAUCUGUGAAGAAAUUUGGCCGAGACCUCAACCCAAAGGCGGAGAUCCGAGGGUCAUCCGAGAACGGGACUUAACUUAGAGAAAUCAGUAGUUUUGGACACCUCACGGGCAAAGAAACGCUAGCGAAAGGGCACGCGUCAACCAGGUGUUCACUGGCUGCUGGUCGAGGUAGAGGAGCGUUUGAGAGUUGUACAGUCACAGAGGGGGUCGUUCCGGAGCGUCAGUCCCUUUUCGGUCUUUUAGAGUCUUUUGUAUUUCAUUUUAUAUUUGCAAUUUCUUUUGUAAUAAUUAACAAACAAAAUUUCUCUC